GACGAACGCUGGCGGCGUGCUUAACACAUGCAAGUCGAACGGAAAGGCCCCGUUGGUGGUACUCGCGUGGCUAACGAGUGAGUAACACAUGAGUAACCUACCCUUCACUGCGUGAGAACUUCAGUCAACUGGCUCUAAUACCGGCUGGGAAGGCGUUCCUGAUGCUUGGUGUUGGUAAGCUUGUGUGGGUUUGGAUGGACUCGCGGCUUAUCAGUUUGUUGGUGGGGGAGUGGGUUACCUAGGCUUUGACUGGUAGGCGGCCCGGGAGGGCGAACGGCCAAAAUGGGAAUGGGAUAACGGCCCGACCCCUACCGGGGGGCAGAGUGGGGAAUAUUGGAAAAUGGGCGGGAGCCCGAUGCCGCCACGGCGGGUGGGGGAUGAAGGGCCUCGGGUUGGAAACCGGUUUCAGCAGGGGAGAAGCUUGUGGUGACGGUAAUUGCAGAAGAAGCACCGGCUAACUACGUG
RNAcentral lists this ribosomal RNA (465 nucleotides) under uncultured bacterium. RNAcentral describes it as "partial 16S ribosomal RNA". It matches the Rfam family "Bacterial small subunit ribosomal RNA", at positions 28 to 507 of the family's 1533-position model. The record is from RNAcentral.